This 395-nucleotide ribosomal RNA is filed under the name uncultured bacterium. RNAcentral's name for it is "partial 16S ribosomal RNA". It matches the Rfam family "Bacterial small subunit ribosomal RNA", at positions 523 to 918 of the family's 1533-position model. The record is from RNAcentral.
AUACGUAGGGUGCAAGCGUUAAUCGGAAUUACUGGGCGUAAAGCGUGCGCAGGCGGUUUUGUAAGAAAGUGGUGAAAUCCCCGGGCUCAACCUGGGAACUGCCAUUGUGACUGCAAGGCUGGAGUGCGGCAGAGGGGGAUGGAAUUCCGCGUGUAGCAGUGAAAUGCGUAGAUAUGCGGAGGAACACCGAUGGCGAAGGCAAUCCCCUGGGCCUGCACUGACGCUCAUGCACGAAAGCGUGGGGAGCAAACAGGAUUAGAUACCCUGGUAGUCCACGCCCUAAACGAUGUCAACUGGUUGUUGGGGAUUUAUUUUCUCAGUAACGAAGCUAACGCGUGAAGUUGACCGCCUGGGGAGUACGGCCGCAAGGUUAAAACUUAAAGGAAUUGACUGGG